UGUAUAAUGGGUCAGCGACUUAUAUUCUGUAGCAAGGUUAACCGAAUAGGGGAGCCGAAGGGAAACCGAGUCUUAACUGGGCGUUAAGUUGCAGGGUAUAGACCCGAAACCCGGUGAUCUAGCCAUGGGCAGGUUGAAGGUUGGGUAACACUAACUGGAGGACCGAACCGACUAAUGUUGAAAAAUUAGCGGAUGACUUGUGGCUGGGGGUGAAAGGCCAAUCAAACCGGGAGAUAGCUGGUUCUCCCCGAAAGCUAUUUAGGUAGCGCCUCGUGAAUUCAUCUCCGGGGGUAGAGCACUGUUUCGGCAAGGGGGUCAUCCCGACUUACCAACCCGAUGCAAACUGCGAAUACCGGAGAAUGUUAUCACGGGAGACACACGGCGGGUGCUAACGUCCGUCGUGAAGAGGGAAACAACCCAGACCGCCAGCUAAGGUCCCAAAGUCAUGGUUAAGUGGGAAACGAUGUGGGAAGGCCCAGACAGCCAGGAUGUUGGCUUAGAAGCAGCCAUCAUUUAAAGAAAGCGUAAUAGCUCACUGGUCGAGUCGGCCUGCGCGGAAGAUGUAACGGGGCUAAACCAUGCACCGAAGCUGCGGCAGCGACGCUUAUGCGUUGUUGGGUAGGGGAGCGUUCUGUAAGCCUGCGAAGGUGUGCUGUGAGGCAUGCUGGAGGUAUCAGAAGUGCGAAUGCUGACAUAAGUAACGAUAAAGCGGGUGAAAAGCCCGCUCGCCGGAAGACCAA
Molecule: ribosomal RNA, 740 nt
Filed under: Escherichia coli
Lineage: Bacteria; Pseudomonadati; Pseudomonadota; Gammaproteobacteria; Enterobacterales; Enterobacteriaceae
Description: partial 23S ribosomal RNA
Rfam family: Bacterial large subunit ribosomal RNA
Source: RNAcentral